GGGGUUGUGGCUCAAUGGUAGAGUGCUUGCCUAGCACGCAUGAGGCAAUGGGUUCAAUCCUCACCACCA
Non-coding RNA from Ictidomys tridecemlineatus (thirteen-lined ground squirrel), 69 nucleotides. The record is from Rfam. NCBI's taxonomy places the organism in Eukaryota, Metazoa, Chordata, Mammalia, Rodentia, Sciuridae.